GGCGUGGCCUGCGGUUGAUUGACAGAAAGAACGUACUUGUGGCGGGCGUGGCCUGGCGUUGACUGACAGAAAUGGCAGCCUUGGAGCGGGCGUGGCCAGACGCGGAUUGACAGCAGGAGCGGGUCGGAGGCGGGAGGACAGGAGAGAGAUCGCUGGUCUACUGUUCCACUCCUACAGUCGAGGCGUCUCAAUCGAGCCUCUUCUCUGUGACUCUGUGGAAAUUCCACUGACGUCUUACUGGCAUCCCAGUGAGGUCACGUGACCCCAGAUUGACCCCGGAUGGCGGAGCGUUCGUUCAUGCACUGUGACAGAGAGACGAGACACACUCAUCCUUCAUCAGCUCUUCUGUCAGAACAUCUCAAAUAACAUCCAUUCAGUGGGAAAUAGAAAUGAAUAAA
Long non-coding RNA from Labeo rohita (rohu), 398 nucleotides. RefSeq lists it as uncharacterized. NCBI's taxonomy places the organism in Eukaryota, Metazoa, Chordata, Actinopteri, Cypriniformes, Cyprinidae. The record is from RefSeq and is a predicted model, not a curated record. The transcript has 2 exons.